Long non-coding RNA from Papaver somniferum (opium poppy), 1104 nucleotides. RefSeq lists it as uncharacterized. The record is from RefSeq and is a predicted model, not a curated record. Lineage: Eukaryota; Viridiplantae; Streptophyta; Magnoliopsida; Ranunculales; Papaveraceae. The transcript has 3 exons.
UAGAACUCAAUUCUUUACCCUAAGCUUCAUUCGGCCUCCAACUUCAAUUUCUGAAAGAAUAGAUUUCAUUUGGAGUCGAAAUCACAGAGAAAUCACCUAAGAACUGUCAUGUUGCAGAGUUUGGGUAAUGAACAGAUGAGGUGUUGCCGUUGAUCUUGGUGUUGAAUGGAGGGGAUUAACAAGUAAAAUUUUCAAGAAGUAGAGAGCUCUGAAAAGGAAUUGAACUACAGAGACGACACCACUUUCACAUUGCGUAUCACGGAAUACUCAGUUUUGAGGGGACAUUCUUAAAGUAUCAGUUCAUUUCAGUUUUUGUUGGACAAGGGAAGUUCUUCGUUUGCUGUACUUAUUUGGGGAACACGGGCCUUCAAACAUUUUCAUGGAUGAAACUAUUGGAUCUGCUCGUAUGGAAUCUGGGACUGGUACUGGCGAUAGUACAGUGCGGUGAACGAGCUCGAGCUUGUCAAUCAGCUGAUGGAUUUGUAUCAUCAUACAAGAUUAUAGUACACACGAUAUUUCUUGAAGUUUGGAUAUGCCUCCUUGGUGCAUCUUAAACCUUAACAGGUAAAUCUUCCUGGUUCCUGCCAAAAAAAGUUGCUCUUCAAAGGGUCAAGUGUUUAUGCAAGAUGACUCCCCCACCCACAAAACCAAAUUCUUGUAGUAGCGAGCCCUUUUCCCGAAUCACUUGCUCCCUCAACAAAACUCUAGCAGCCACUAUUUGAAAUUGCCAUGAGGUAAUCGGAGAUAAAGAUAUUCUUACCUCAAUGGAUCAAUCAUUCAAGACCUUUUCAUCAUAGAAGUCUAAUCCUUUUAAAAAAGAGUCCCACAUCGAUAACAAAGGCCUUGUAACUCUUUAGUAUCUCUUGGUCUUCUGAUUUGUUUCUAAGCUCUUAACUUAAACACCCUGGAAAUUCUUCGCCUGUCUUCACUCAUGUGCAAUACCAGAACAAAGGCCUCAGCUUGGGAUAUUCUUAUUAUGUGUUCUGAUUCACAAAUGUUAAUAAGACGAUCAACCUGUAUACAUAUUAUUUGGGUUCUUAGAUGUUAUCAGGUAACUAAUUGUGCACCUUUCCUGUGUUUUCUUCGUGCAAUGGAUACAUCAUU